GGCUCAGUGGUGCAGCUGGUAAGCAUGCUCGAUUUAUAUUUGCUGACCAACCUUAUAAAAGUGUGUCGAGAGACAGAGGUUCGAACCCUCUCUGAGCUA
Molecule: transfer RNA, 99 nt
Filed under: Tetrahymena thermophila SB210
Lineage: Eukaryota; Ciliophora; Oligohymenophorea; Hymenostomatida; Tetrahymenidae
Description: Tetrahymena thermophila tRNA-Ile for anticodon UAU
Rfam family: tRNA
About the family: Transfer RNA (tRNA) molecules are approximately 80 nucleotides in length. Their secondary structure includes four short double-helical elements and three loops (D, anti-codon, and T loops).
Source: Rfam by way of RNAcentral